This 252-nucleotide long non-coding RNA is filed under the name Lathyrus oleraceus (garden pea). Its description in RNAcentral is "Pisum sativum (pea) long non-coding RNA (PSAT_LNC040318)". The record is from RNAcentral. Lineage: Eukaryota; Viridiplantae; Streptophyta; Magnoliopsida; Fabales; Fabaceae.
GGAAAACAGCAAGAUUAAUUCCAAGAAAAAUCAUACAUCAAUUAGACAUACAAGGGAUCAUUCAUGCAAAAUUUCAAGUGAUUUGGAUAAGAGGAAGCAUGUGAACAAAAAUCAUACAUUUGCAUAUCAUUGGUGUGACACAAAUUGUCACACCCUAAUUCAAAAAUCCAUAUCUAUCAAACCACAAAUGAGAAAUCCACAAACUUUAUAUGGAAAUGAAGAUCAAUGUGUCUAGUUUUACCACAAAAAAUU